RNAcentral lists this ribosomal RNA (467 nucleotides) under uncultured bacterium. RNAcentral describes it as "bacterial SSU rRNA". It matches the Rfam family "Bacterial small subunit ribosomal RNA", at positions 355 to 825 of the family's 1533-position model. The record is from RNAcentral.
UAAGGAAUAUUGGUCAAUGGAGGCAACUCUGAACCAGCCAUGCCGCGUGCAGGAAGAAGGCCCUAUGGGUCGUAAACUGCUUUUGAACAAGAGAAAACCCCGGUACGUGUACUGGGUUGAUAGUAUUGUUAGAAUAAGCAUCGGCUAACUUCGUGCCAGCAGCCGCGGUAAGACGAAGGAUGCAAGCGUUAUCCGGAUUCAUUGGGUUUAAAGGGUGCGUAGGCGGACUGAUAAGUCAGUGGUGAAAUCUCUCGGCUUAACCGAGAAACUGCCAUUGAUACUGUUAGUCUAGAGUACAGAUGAUGUGGGCGGAAUAUGGCAUGUAGUGGUGAAAUACUUAGAUAUGUCAUAGAACACCGAUUGCGAAGGCAGCUCACAAAACUGUAACUGACGCUGAGGCACGAAAGUGCGGGGAUCAAACAGGAUUAGAUACCCUGGUAGUCCCUGAGCGGGCUGGCAAGGCGCAU